AAUAUAGUGGCUGACAAAAGUAUUAGACUGUAAAUCUAAUUAUAAGGUUUAUACCUUCUAUAUUA
RNAcentral lists this transfer RNA (65 nucleotides) under Lepidurus apus lubbocki. RNAcentral describes it as "tRNA-Tyr". It matches the Rfam family "tRNA". Rfam says of the family: Transfer RNA (tRNA) molecules are approximately 80 nucleotides in length. Their secondary structure includes four short double-helical elements and three loops (D, anti-codon, and T loops). Lineage: Eukaryota; Metazoa; Arthropoda; Branchiopoda; Notostraca; Triopsidae. The record is from RNAcentral.